This 465-nucleotide ribosomal RNA is filed under the name uncultured bacterium. RNAcentral describes it as "partial 16S ribosomal RNA". It matches the Rfam family "Bacterial small subunit ribosomal RNA", at positions 28 to 507 of the family's 1533-position model. The record is from RNAcentral.
GAUGAACGCUGGCGGCGUGCUUAACACAUGCAAGUCGAACGGAAAGGCUCCUGCUUGCAGGGGUACUCGAGUGGCGAACGGGUGAGUAACACGUGGGUGAUCUGCCCUGCACUUCGGGAUAAGCCUGGGAAACUGGGUCUAAUACCGGAUAGGACGAUGGUUUGGAUGCCAUUGUGGAAAGUUUUUCGGUGUGGGAUGAGCUCGCGGCCUAUCAGCUUGUUGGUGGGGUAAUGGCCUACCAAGGCGUUGACGGGUAGCCGGCCUGUGAGGGUGUACGGCCACAUUGGGACUGAGAUACGGCCCAGACUCCUACGGGAGGCAGCAGUGGGGAAUAUUGCACAAUGGGCUCAAGCCUGAUGCAGCGACGCCGCGUGGGGGAUGACGGCCUUCGGGUUGUAAACUCCUUUCGCUAGGGACGAAGCGCAAGUGACGGUACCUGGAGAAGAAGCACCGGCUAACUACGUG